CCUACGGGGGACAGCAGUGAGGAAUAUUGGUCAAUGGGCGCGAGCCUGAACCAGCCAAGUAGCGUGAAGGAUGAAGGUUCUAUGGAUCGUAAACCUCUUUUAUAAGGGAAUAAAGUGUGGGACGUGUCCUGUUUUGUAUGUACCUUAUGAAUAAGGAUCGGCUAACUCCGUGCCAGCAGCCGCGGUAAUACGGAGGAUCCGAGCGUUAUCCGGAUUUAUUGGGUUUAAAGGGUGCGUAGGCGGCCUUUUAAGUCAGCGGUGAAAGUCUGUGGCUCAACCAUAGAAUUGCCGUUGAAACUGGGAGGCUUGAGUAUGUUUGAGGCAGGCGGAAUGCGUGGUGUAGCGGUGAAAUGCUUAGAUAUCACGCAGAACCCCGAUUGCGAAGGCAGCCUGCCAAGCCAUGACUGACGCUGAUGCACGAAAGCGUGGGGAUCAAACAGGAUUAGAUACCCGUGUAGUC
This 460-nucleotide ribosomal RNA is filed under the name uncultured bacterium. Its description in RNAcentral is "partial 16S ribosomal RNA". It matches the Rfam family "Bacterial small subunit ribosomal RNA", at positions 338 to 795 of the family's 1533-position model. The record is from RNAcentral.